Molecule: long non-coding RNA, 710 nt
Filed under: Setaria viridis
Lineage: Eukaryota; Viridiplantae; Streptophyta; Magnoliopsida; Poales; Poaceae
Description: long non-coding RNA (SVIR_LNC004929)
Source: RNAcentral
CCUCCAUUACUCAAGAUUUCUAGACGAUUGACAAAUGCCAUGAAUCAUAGGGAGCUUUGUCUCCUCCAACUCCAGGAAGUAACGGGUUCUGUGAUAGAGUUUUCCUUAAAAAGACAACGGGUAUAGACUAUAAAGGGAAGGUCGUGGGCAACAAGCCAACUUAGCAACGGUGAUGGACAUAGGGGAGGAGCGGCAAGGUAACGGUAACGUCGUCCACCGUUGGAGGCUAAGGAAUUCCGUUUGGAAGGGUAAGGGUGGGGCAGGUUAGUGCCACGCUACGGUUACGGUUGUGGAUUUAAUGGUGGGAGUUGUUGCAGACAAGCAAGUGGAGGUGGGCGCGAGUCAUCACGUGGCUGAGAGCUUGUUUACGAGGAACAUCCGCAAGUUUUAGAUUGGGAGAUUGGAAAUGAGAUUCGGUAUGGAAGUUAAAGAGCAAUGCAUGAAUGGAGAAGAAGAUACACUCCCACAUUUCUAUCUAGGAUGGGAGCGGCAAUUUGAAAUACACAAGGUUGUUGACCAUAUUUUUUUAUUGGAAAAAAGCUAACACUCACUCAAUGAUUUUGUCACUGUCCAUGGUUUUUUUUAAGGAAAAUGGUAUAGAGAGAAAGUCAAGGGUAACAUAUCGGCUCAAGAUGGAAGCUGUCAAUGGUGAGACCAGCGCUUACGGUGAUUUCUAGAUAUGGAAGUGGAGUAGGGUGUGCAGGGGUCAU